UCCAUUGUUAAAGAGAACAACGUUUUAAUGAAACUUCUUUCAAAUCUGUGAAGUACAUGUGAAGUAAGUGCUUUUAUUCUUUCCAUAGGACAGAUUUCCAAACAAUGAUCACAGUGCUUAGGUUAAUAAGAUGCUAGACAGAUGAGUAGCCAGAGAAUGCUAUGAAAUAACAAAAUCCCUUCAACCAUAUAGCAAACGCAGAUUACCGAGACAUCAAGUGAAUGAUGUUUAGAGUUACAUGACUAAAAACGAGACAUUACAGUAAUCAAGUCAUAAAACUAGAAAAAGUUAUGUAACAAAAAGGCCUUUCAAAAGCUAUUAAAUGAGCAUACGUGAUAGAUGAACCAAUUGUAUAUCUGAAGCAGCUUAUAGCACCAACAUGUUGGCAGGACCUGUAGAGAGGGUAGGCCGCUGGACCGAGGCAUCGUUGGGGGGUUGGGGGAAGUUCCCACCAUCAUCUACUUUGAGCCUCCUGUUUUACAGAUGGUGAAACGGGGGCCCAGCAAGAUGAAGUGCCUUGUCCAAAGUCACAUGACACAGGGACACAAGAUUGGCUGGAAAACACUCCAAGGCUACGAUCCAGGCCGCCUAACUUUAGGUAAGGGUUCUAUUUUAAUUUACACAUAAUUCUAUUUGAUGCAUGUGUUUUGUUCCCAUUAACAGCUCCACCAUAAAAGAAAUCAAUACAAUUCAUAACACAUUCCAGUAUUAUAUUUUAUUGAGAAGGACUGACACGUACUGCCCUUCAUUUCUUGGGCCUCUAAAGAUCUUCAGUCAAUAGCUGGAAUAAUCGGAUAACACUUCUGUUGGUUGUAAAUUGGCUGAGAAGGUGGCAUCUGAAGACAACGUUCAGCACCUCUUUUACUACCUAAACUAACCUAUGCCUCAAAAUUGCUAAAUCAUUGGUAUAAUUUCUUUGAUAGUUUGAAGAUUAGUAAAGUACAAAAACAGUACAGAAAGAGAGCAGGUCAGGUCCUUCCUUUAAAAGGUAAUUAUGGCACUUUGAUUUUAAUAAGGUAAGGAAAUGUAAAAACCAGAUUCUUUUUAGAAGAAAAAGUAACUACAACCUCUACCCUUGUGGACAACCUGGUGUAAUGUGUUUCUAUAAAAUACUUUGGAUUCAAGAACUUUUGUCUAGCAUAUUUUGCCAUGGUCCUGGGGCCUCGAUUGGACAGAUUUAUGCACUAACAAACAUACAAGAAUGAGAAAAAAGAUCAGCGUUAACAGAAGCAGUAUUAAAGACAAAAAUAUAAUGAACCUAUUUAAAUAGCUUCCUAGAUGUGAAGCCAAGAAGCUGCACGUAUAUUAUGUGAUUAGUGUGUCUUUAAAGUGGUGCUUUGGGGAAAGAAACCCACCGUAUACGGGGCACUUGUCCAUUAUCAUAAGCAAGCUGCUGCAGAACAGUUCAAUCGUGGUUCAUAAGUAGAUUAAAGCCUGAUAAAUAAAAGUGACUUCUGCAUAUCCUAUACAUAGAUUUUCUUAAAUAGACAUCUAGCUGUAAGUAAAUCAACAUUUAGCUACAAUUUUUCCGCACUGGGUCCAGCGUCAAAGGAUGGGAUUUCACUUCUCUUGAACAUGCCCUACGCCCAGUUAAGAGGUUACAGGACAGCCGUGCUCCUAGCCUUUAUGAUAUCUGACUGGCAAAAAAUGUAACCUCCCGGGACCUCAAGUCCAUUCCUUACCCACUACAAGCAUAUCAACAAAUAGAGAGCAAAACCUACGUGGCUCCCGUUGGCUAAAAAGAUAAUUUAGUACUAAAGAAUAAACUUAUGCUUGCUACUGAAAAGGUGCACAGAUACCGAGUAGGUAUGAUAAAAUUUCAUAAAAAUAUUUAACAAGCUGCAUUAUAAAUACUUAAGGAAAAAUGUUAAAAUCAGAAUGAAAAUACGAUUAGUGUUCUGAAACCAUCAGUAGAAAAAUACACUUGUUAAAGGAAAAGGCCUCAUGGAGUGAAGCGUUAAGUGUCAUGUGUUUUUAGUGCACAUUUCGAAUGUCACCCCCUCUCGCUCCUGAACAGGCGCCUGUAAUUUUCUUGGAAACCGGGCGUGUUGCAAAACCAAGCGGGAGAUGUCAAGGGGUUAAGGCCAGUGGCAUGAUUUUCCACAUGAUGUUGGAAAAGUGAGGGCAGUUCACAAUGUUGAAAAGAUAGGUGGCUGGGGAAGUCCUGACUCGGUUUGAGCAGCUUAAAAAUAGCCCCGCAUCUGUUCAGCCCCAGUCAGCUUCAGACUCGGAACCCAGACGUGCGACUGUAGGGGCGGGGGGGGGGGGGGGGGGCUUGGGUGGCAGAGCAAGAGCGUGUAGGACUAGGGGAAAGCGCUGUAAAUAGUUCCAUCUUGGGGGUUGGAUCCUUUUGGAAGGUGAGCUUUUAAUCCUUCAUUAGUAGAUAUUUUAAGGAACUAAAGAUGAAUUAAAAUAUCAGAGGCUUGUGUAUGGCGUGCGCCCUUAAGGGAGUGUUUUUUGUUUAAAAAAGGGGGCCCUUCCUCCCUCUUUGAUAAAACUAAGAUACUCUGUGGCCUAGGAGAUUCCUUGGGAUGCCCACGGGCAAGCCCCAGGACUUGAGGGCUGAGUUCACACCCAGAGGAACAUCCAGGAACCUGAGGACAGCUGCUGGCACCCUGAAGCCCAAGUGUACUCCAGGUCUAAGCCUGCCCUGGGGGGUGCGGACAAUCGGGGAACACGCCGCACCCCCUUCCCCCGGGUAUUUGACAAAUCUGAUGCCUUUGGCUCCUGUAGGGUUCUUUCCCACCACGGUCCACCCCGUUGGGGCCGGGAGGUGAGCCUCACCUCUGCAAACAGCUGUCCUGGCCAGAGAGGCGAGCUGAAGGGCAGGGCAGAGAGGAGGAAAUCACAAAGCUUGGCUAAGAAAAGCACACGGCUUUUACACAUUCUCGCUCUCUGCGCCGGGCUCCCGUGGACCCUCCUUUACUUUAAGCAUCAAGGCGGACCUUCCCCUGCAGGGCACGUCCCCCUCACUGCAGAGAACACGAGCCCCCGGGGAGCAGCUGCCCACAGUCCUGCCCGGGGCCUCUUCCCCUUUUCAAGACCCGCGAUCGCUGAAGCCCAAAGGCUCCCUUGGGAAAACCUCAGAGGAGGGCCUGUAGUUCGGUUUUUAAUUUUACUUGGUGCAGUUGAUGAGCUAAGAGGUCAGCAAGGAGUCUUCCUUACCCAGUUACAGUGGCUCCGACCUUAGGACGUUCUUUACUUUUUGUACGGGAACUCCGUACAUAGGACAGGGCAGAGGCGUGGCUUCUGGAGCUGAGGAACUGAGAGACGUUUUAACAAGGAAAUAAGCCUUGAGACGUGUAUAUACAAAGACUUAUACACACGGCGCUCCUCACCCAGGGACACGGUGCAGGUCGGCACAACCCUAGGAUGAUGUAAAGGCUUUAGGACUUAAGUUAUCACUGUUUUUUUUUUUUUUUUUUUUUCGAAAUGGCCCAAACCAACUUUUCUUAAGCAGUAACCCAAGAGGACACCAUAGUUAUCGAGUGGAAAAGAAGACC
Molecule: long non-coding RNA, 3503 nt
Filed under: Canis lupus familiaris (dog)
Lineage: Eukaryota; Metazoa; Chordata; Mammalia; Carnivora; Canidae
Description: lncRNA (ENSCAFG00845014019.1)
Source: RNAcentral